This 487-nucleotide ribosomal RNA is filed under the name Massilia sp. 793. Its description in RNAcentral is "bacterial SSU rRNA". It matches the Rfam family "Bacterial small subunit ribosomal RNA", at positions 94 to 577 of the family's 1533-position model. The record is from RNAcentral. Lineage: Bacteria; Pseudomonadati; Pseudomonadota; Betaproteobacteria; Burkholderiales; Oxalobacteraceae.
AGUGGCGAACGGGUGAGUAAUAUAUCGGAACGUACCCAAGAGUGGGGGAUAACGUAGCGAAAGUUACGCUAAUACCGCAUACGAUCUAAGGAUGAAAGCAGGGGACCUUCGGGCCUUGUGCUCCUGGAGCGGCCGAUAUCUGAUUAGCUAGUUGGUGAGGUAAAGGCUCACCAAGGCGACGAUCAGUAGCUGGUCUGAGAGGACGACCAGCCACACUGGAACUGAGACACGGUCCAGACUCCUACGGGAGGCAGCAGUGGGGAAUUUUGGACAAUGGGCGCAAGCCUGAUCCAGCAAUGCCGCGUGAGUGAAGAAGGCCUUCGGGUUGUAAAGCUCUUUUGUCAGGGAAGAAACGGCUGUGGCUAAUAUCCACGGCUAAUGACGGUACCUGAAGAAUAAGCACCGGCUAACUACGUGCCAGCAGCCGCGGUAAUACGUAGGGUGCAAGCGUUAAUCGGAAUUACUGGGCGUAAAGCGUGCGCAGGCG